This 1789-nucleotide long non-coding RNA is filed under the name Fukomys damarensis (Damara mole-rat). Its description in RNAcentral is "lncRNA (ENSFDAG00000024402.1)". The record is from RNAcentral. Lineage: Eukaryota; Metazoa; Chordata; Mammalia; Rodentia; Bathyergidae.
CAUAACUUGGUUAUAUAGUUUUUCCUUUCCUCCUCUUCAAUGCCCCAUGGAUUGGCUUUGGGAGAGUAGGGAGUUUGGGGAGGAAUUUUUCUGCCUUGUCUUCUCAUGUUUUUUGUUUGUUUUGUUCUGUUUCAUGCUUAGGUACGAAGCAGGGAGAUAGCGAGAGGCCUGGGGAGAGUGAACCGUGAACCCUCCACCGGCAUAGAGGCUUCAUUUUCUAAGACGCAGCCUCCCCACCUGGAUAAGAGAAGGUCCUGGCAGAAGGUCCCGUGCUGUGUCACUGCUCCCAGAUCAGCUGCUCUGUGUCCCUUAGAAGGCCGAGCACCUGCAGUGCUAUCAUAUUGUGUCAACGACAAUGCUCCCCCAACAAACUCUGUGACCCACUUUGGGGCGUGUAGAGAUGUUCAGCCUAUCCUUCCUAUUUGGGUGAUUAGCUUUCUUCUUCCACUUUGUACAUAUAACAUGCUCAAGACAUAUGAAAGAUACUUCCAGAUGAGUUUCCCAAAGCCCAAGGCCAGAGUCAGCUGACAGCUGUCUGUUGGCAGUAAAAAUACCCAGUGCAUUCCAGCGCAGCUCUUGGGAACUGCUGGUGUCCUCUCCCACUUCUCUCAUGCAGACACCUCAUCUAAUCUGUGUUUUGGGACUUUGUCUUACAAGGGCCACUUUUAAAGGAAGGUUACAGCCCAGGGCAACUGGCCUCCUGAGGCUGGCAGACUCCUCAGCGGCCCUUUCUGCUGCCACAGCAGUGUGUGUGGCAAGAGCAUUCUAAAGCUGGGGGCCUGGAAGUUUCACUUCUCCCAUCCCGCAUAGGUAGCUGGGUGCUGUACCUUCGCUCAGGUGCCAAGUACCUCUGCCCAUUGCACAGGUGCCUCUCAGGCUCGCACCCUCACCUUUUUUUCUCCUGAAGCCAGAGCCUGGAUGCAAGUUGAGGGGAAAUCAGAGGCUUCUCUGACUUUGUUCUGCCGUCUGUCCCCAACCUCUGCCACCUCUACCAACUGCCUUCCCACCCACGCUAGGCCUGCCUACCAUGCCCCUGUAAUGUCCCCAUAACUGCAGCACAGUUGCCCCCUGCCUUCCACACCCUGAGGGCAGCAGCAGUUUCUUUUCCUUCCCUACCCUAGAAGCACACAGAUUCCCACCCCACCGAGACUCCAUGGAGUCAGCUCUUUAGUCCUCUCUCCUUUGGCUUGUAUCUUCCUGAGUCCCAGGGAGAAACUCUUUCUCAUUUCUCCACACACAGUGCCACCUGGGAGUAGGACUUGACCUCUGUCCCAGGGUCACCAGGAGAGCGGCCCACAGGUACAACUGGCCAAUGCCAGGACCAGGGAUUUAGCUCAGUGGUUCUGCCACCUGCCUCUCAAGCUCAAGCUCAAGGACCCAAUUUUGAUCUCUGGUACCCGCCCUCCAAAAAAAAAACAAAAAAAACAAACAAACAAAAAAUUGCCCAACGCCAGGCUCAUUUUUAAAACUAACACAUACACGUGUUAUAAAGGUGGAUUCAAUGCAGGUGAGUUUCCUGCCCACUGCCCAGAAGAAAUUGACCUCAACCUUGUACAUAUAUCUUUAUGGCCAUGUCUUAAGUGCCAAUAAGCUUGCAAACAUAAGCAAAUGAGACACACCUAUCAAUCUCUUCAAUAUAUUGUGCUGUGGAGAACCUUUCUGUAUCAGCACAGAGCUACUUCAGGCCUUUAAAACAGUGCUUGUCUAAGUUUGAUCUCCAGGCCAGCUACCUCAGCCUAUUUGGGAGCUUGGUAGAAAUGCACGUUCUUAGGCCUUGUUCAGACCAGCU